UCCGUAGGCGGUGUGGUAAGUCGAUAGUGAAAUCUCUGGGCUUAACCCAGAGGCUGCUAACGAAACUACCAUGCUAGAGUGUGAGAGAGGCGAGUGGAAUUACGGGUGUAGCGGUGAAAUGCGUAGAUAUCCGUAGGAACAUCCGAGGCGAAAGCGGCUCGCUGGAUCACAACUGACGCUGAGGGACGAAAGCUAGGGGAGCAAACA
Molecule: ribosomal RNA, 207 nt
Filed under: uncultured bacterium
Lineage: Bacteria
Description: partial 16S ribosomal RNA
Rfam family: Bacterial small subunit ribosomal RNA
Source: RNAcentral